Long non-coding RNA from Oncorhynchus kisutch (coho salmon), 1102 nucleotides. RefSeq lists it as uncharacterized. Lineage: Eukaryota; Metazoa; Chordata; Actinopteri; Salmoniformes; Salmonidae. The record is from RefSeq and is a predicted model, not a curated record. The transcript has 4 exons.
GUCUUAGCAGAGCUACCAUAUCUUCACGCUUCAACACACACACAUACACUAUACACUAACAUACACCCACUUGAGGAGAGUUGAGAAACACCUUUAGUACCACUGUCAUUGUCAGAUAACAUAUUCGCUCCCUAGAAUCCAAGGGGGCAUUACAGUAGGCUACAUGAAUGGGCAAGUAACAUCUCUGGUGAAACUGAUUCAAGACUGGACCAAGACAUGUGUUGCCUUGGCUACUGCAUAGGUACGGCAUCUAAAAACACAUUCUGGACGUAACCAAUGAAUGGCGGGAGCCUGUAGAGCACGAGCGUACACACGGCGGUACAGUGAGGUCGUGUGUGGAACAACAGCACAUCUAGGUGAAUCGUGACAGAGAUAAGAGGUGCAGUCCAUGUUUCAACAGUCCGGGUAAAUCCCGGAUCUUCUGCCUUAGCUGAGUCUGGUCUCGAGCCCCGGUGUUUCGGUUAUUCCACCGCCAGCCGCCGACCAUACCAUCUUCUCCACCGGACUCAGAGUCCUCCAUAAACAAAAUGGUGGAAAGGACGAACUGGAGGCGACGUCAUCGCCUCACCUGCGGCUCAAAUUUCGAUAGCCCACAGUUUCCUGUUUCCAGGCACACCCCUCUCCCCCGUCUCAUCAAGGCCACUCCUGAAUGUUCGACCGCGGGGCAGGGGAUUCCAGUACCUGGAGGGUUAUGGCCUGGAAGAGAGGUGCUGGGUCCCCGCUAGGGACAUCCUGGACCCAGGCCUCAUCGCUGAGUUCCAACGCCGGUACCCGGGGCAACCAGGUCUGCACCCAGGUAGGAUGCCAGGUGUCGCCCCUAGAGGGGGGGUACUGUCACACCCUGAUCUGUUUCACCUGUCUUUGUGCUUGUUUCCACCCCCCUCCAGGUGUCGCCCAUCUUCCCCAUUAUCCCCAGUGUAUUUAUACCUGUGUUCUCUGUUGCCAGUUCGUUUUGUUUCAUCAAGCCUAACCAGCGUUUUCCCCGUGCUUCUGUCUUUCUCUAGUUCUUGUUUUCCCGGUUUUGACCAUUCUGCCUGCACUGACCCUGAGACUGUCUGCCGUUCUGUACCUUGUGACACUGCCCUGGAUUACUGACCUCUGC